Molecule: ribosomal RNA, 714 nt
Filed under: uncultured Archaeoglobus sp.
Lineage: Archaea; Methanobacteriati; Methanobacteriota; Archaeoglobi; Archaeoglobales; Archaeoglobaceae
Description: bacterial SSU rRNA
Rfam family: Archaeal small subunit ribosomal RNA
Source: RNAcentral
GGACAACCUGCCCUCGGGAGGGGGAUAACCCCGGGAAACUGGGGCUAAACCCCCAUAGGGGAUGGAUACUGGAAUGUUCCAUCUCCGAAAGUCCGCAAGGAGCCCGAGGAUGGGUCUGCGGCGGAUUAGGUAGUUGGUGGGGUAACGGCCCACCAAGCCUAAGAUCCGUACGGGCCAUGGGAGUGGGAGCCCGGAGAUGGACCCUGAGACAAGGGUCCAGGCCCUACGGGGCGCAGCAGGCGCGAAACCUCCGCAAUGCGGGAAACCGCGACGGGGUCAGCCGGAGUGCCGAUGCUUGCAUCGGCUGUCGGGGAGCCUAAAAAGCUCUCCAAGCAAGGGCCGGGCAAGGCCGGUGGCAGCCGCCGCGGUAAUACCGGCGGCCCGAGUGGCGGUCACUAUUAUUGGGCUUAAAGCGUCCGUAGCCGGGUUGGUUAGUCUCCCGGGAAAUCUGGCCGCUCAACGGUCAGAAUUCCGGGAGAUACUGCCAGCCUAGGGACCGGGAGAGGUCGAGGGUAUUCCCGGAGUAGGGGUGAAAUCCUAUAAUCCCGGGAGGACCACCUGUGGCGAAGGCGCUCGGCUGGAACGGGUCCGACGGUGAGGGACGAAGGCCAGGGGAGCAAACCGGAUUAGAUACCCGGGUAGUCCUGGCUGUAAACGAUGCGGACUUUGUGUCGGACAAGCUAUGAGCUUGUCCGGUGCCGGAGGGAAACCGUU